Molecule: ribosomal RNA, 484 nt
Filed under: uncultured bacterium
Lineage: Bacteria
Description: partial 16S ribosomal RNA
Rfam family: Bacterial small subunit ribosomal RNA
Source: RNAcentral
AUUGAACGCUGGCGGCAGGCCUAACACAUGCAAGUCGAGCGGAUGAAGGGAGCUUGCUCCUGGAUUCAGCGGCGGACGGGUGAGUAAUGCCUAGGAAUCUGCCUGGUAGUGGGGGAUAACGUCCGGAAACGGGCGCUACUACCGCCUACGUCCUGAGGGAGCAAGUGGGUGAUUUUCGGACCUCUCGCUUGCGUAUGAGCUUAGGCCGGAUUAGCUAGUUGGUGGGGUAAAGGCCUUCCAAGGCGACGAUCGGUAACUGGUCUGCGAGGAUGAUCAGUCACACGGGAAGUGGAACAACGUCAAGGCGACUACGGGAGGGAGCAGUGGGGAAUAUUAGACAGUGGGCGAAAGCCUGAUCCAGCCAUGCCGCGUGUGUGAAGAAGGUCUUCGGAGUGUAAAGCAGUUUAAGGUGGUAUGAAGGGCAGUAAGUUAAUACCUUGCUGUUGUGACGUUACCAGCAGAAUAAGCACCGGCUAACUUCGUG